This is a small nucleolar RNA of Tachyglossus aculeatus (Australian echidna), 138 nucleotides long. Lineage: Eukaryota; Metazoa; Chordata; Mammalia; Monotremata; Tachyglossidae. The record is from RefSeq and is a predicted model, not a curated record.
CCCCUCUCAGGAUCACAUCUGGAGAGUUUCCAGUAAUCUCCCAGUCUUGGUUAUGGGAGGGUGAGUCAAGUAGAGACAUGCCUAUUCCAUUCCUAGCUUGGCCAGUGGCUGGUGAGUAGAAGGCAAUCUGCUACAAGU